AGUGAACGCUGGCGGUAGGCCUAACACAUGCAAGUCGAACGGCAGCACAGUAAGAUCUUGCUCUUACGGGUUGCGAGUGGCGGACGGGUGAGGAAUACAUCGGAAUCUACUUUUUCGUGGGGGAUAACGUAGGGAAACUUACGCUAAUAUCGCAUACGACCUACGGGUGAAAGCAGGGGAUCUUCGGACCUUGCGCGAUUGAAUGAGCCGAUGUCGGAUUAGCUAGUUGGCGGGUUAAAGGCCCACCAAGUCGACGAUCCGUAGCUGGUCUGAGAGGCUGAUAAGCGACACUGGAACUGAGACACGGUCCAGACUACUACGGGAGGCAGCAGUGGGGAAUAUUGGACAAUGGGCGCAAGCAUGAUCCAGCCAUACCGCGUGUGUGAAGAAGGCCUUCGGGUUGUAAAGACCUUUUGUUGGGAAAGAAAAGCAGCCGGUUAAUACCCCGCUGUUCUGACGGUACCCAAAGAAUAAGCACCGGCUAACUUCGUG
RNAcentral lists this ribosomal RNA (492 nucleotides) under uncultured bacterium. RNAcentral's name for it is "partial 16S ribosomal RNA". It matches the Rfam family "Bacterial small subunit ribosomal RNA", at positions 29 to 507 of the family's 1533-position model. The record is from RNAcentral.